UUUUGAGGUUAUACAAAUAGCACAAACAUUAAUUUUAGAAAUGUCGUUCCAUCCGUUGCAUUGGAUUUUUUCUCCCUUUGUAUGAGGGGCAUUGGCUAGGAAACAUAAUUUUUUUUUGUAUAAAGGUAUUUUGCUGGGAAACAUAAUUUUGUGUGGGAAGUUGCUAGAAAAGCUAAUUUCAAAGCAGAGCUGUGCAAACCAGGCGCCCUCUUCCUCAUGCAACUCGCACUACACUCUCGUGCGCUCUGGACUCGGACCAUCUUUCUCUGGAUCUCCUUCCUCACUCUCUACAGUGUAAAAUUUGGGUGGAGUUGUAAUUGGAUAUUAAUGGAGUAUCCAUUUGCUACCCUUGAUCUCAACAAUACGCAUGAGAGGUGAAGCAAAUGGCAGGUAAAAUAUUGGGAGAGGGCAGUUGAUAAGCUUGAGAGUCUGCUUCGAAUUCUACAGCUUACAAAUGGAUUGUUUGCAAAAAUUUGCAUCUUGUAGGAAUCUUCAAGAAAUAAUUCUUAGAUGGGUGAUGAUUUAAUCGGUUUAGUAUGAAUAGGAAGUUGUUGGGGUUCGUGGAUCAAGGUGGAGCUGAAAGCAAGGGGUCAAAGUCUCGAACUGGUUUUCUUUGGAGGUCAAGAAUGAAGGAAAAUCUAGCUGCAAUUGGUGUAGAAUGCAACUCAUGAUGAUAAAUACGCUGACAAAUGUAGGGCACUGAAAGUGAAGGAAGGAGAGAGGAUAGAUGGAAAGUUAGAGAGGCGAUACUUGAAACAUUUAUAGGGGAAAGUGGUUGAGGUUAUUUGAUGAACGAUAAUGGAGAACAAGGAGUAUUUUCUUGAAGAGGGAGAAUGGGUUGGUAGAAGAAGGAUGGGAUUGUCAAAUUAAAAAGUUGCACGGUUGUUUUAUGUUGGGCUUCUCACAUUCUUGGCAUCUAUUAUUGAUUCUACGAACAGGAAAGCAUGUGUAAGAUCUAAUGGUCUACUUUCUUUUCUAGAAAUCUGGGUUAUGCUUUUGUUUGGAAGUUUUAAAAAAUAGGUCAUUCGAAUCUUGUCUCCAAGAAUUUUACGUUUGUUGACGCAUUACGGGUUGUUGAAUGUAAUAUAUGCAAUAAAAACAGGAGUUGCAAAUUUUAAGAAAGGAGUGGUUUGAUGUGGAUGAUAUGGAGAUGUUAUGCUUGGAAGAGUGCCUUUUUGUUCUGCUUGCAACGGAUUAGUAUAGGUGCAUUAAAACUUGUCUGGCUCUGGUCGCAUAUAUGAAGAUGGCAAUUGUUAUAUCUUUGGAAGAUUAUGAUGAAUUCAGUCUGACGAGAGCGGUGGAAUACUAGAUUUUUCAUAUGUCGAAGUGCAUUUGGUUGCAGUUUGUUGUAGGCAGUAUUUACAAUGGCUGUUAGGAUGUCUAUAAUGAUGGAGGAAUUUCAGCUGAAGUGAGUGUCAUGUUGAGUCAGAUUAUAUCUUGUGUACUUCAGACCCUCAGAUUGCGAAUCAAACUGUAUCGCUGCCAUGAUGGUUGCUAGGGCCAGUAUUGGAGGAGGUUGCGUGGAUAUUUGUGGGGAAGGAAGGGCAUGGUUGCAAAAUGACUGUUAAGGAUAAUGCUACUUUACAAUGAUACAUAUUUGAGGAUGGAUAGAAUUGUUUAGAUUUUUGAGAUCAAAGCUCUUGAAGGUGGUGAUAUUGGGUGGCAUGGGCGAGUGCCUUAGGUUGAAUGUGUUUCAAGCUGUGAUUUUUCAGUUGCAGGAACCUUGCACCUGGUAGUAAUCUAAGCUCCCAAAACAAAUGAUCCCAAAGUAGUUUAGACACAAUUCUUGAUGGAACAUUGUAUCAUUCGACUUCUGUUGCUCUCAUGAGUGUUCCUUGGGUGUUUGUACUAACCAAUGUUUUUAACUCAAGACUCCUCUUGGGACUUAACCAGAUCUCUAUUCCAGUCUCAUCGAGUCAAAUUGACGAAGUCUCUUUAAAGAUUAAGAGUGGAUGAUGACACCGGGCCGAUUCUUGUAAGACUGAUUGAGCCAAGUCUGCUUAGAUGAGUCCCAAGAUGACUUUGUCAGUUUUGAACGCUGCUGGUGACCAAGUGUGCGGAGGCUCCAUAUUACUUGGCUGGAUUUGAUACAAGGGAUGAAGCUAAAGAAUUACAAGAACGGUUGUUGCAGAAGAGUGACCAAGGAGUGUCUGUGAACUCGCAAAACGUAUAAAGUAAAAAACAGCAGCAUCUUAUAAAGAGCUUAGAGGCGAGGAAGAAGAGGGCAUAUGAUUUAGAGAAAAUGUACAUGGAGAUGCCUUACCAGAAGGAACUGAAGACUAAAGGAUCAUGAGCUCAUUUCCCCUACUGACAGACCAGUGUACAAAUGGGAACGGGAACACAAGCGGUGAAAGGUAUGCAUGUUGUCUCUCUCUUUCCAUGAGGGACAUAAAGAUUGUCACACUAUGUCUCAAUUAGCCUAUAAGUCAACGAGUGUGGUCUAAUGUUCUGAUAGUGAGUUUCAACGCUGUGUGUGUGUGUGUGUGUGUGUCAAAAUGGGAUUCUGACUCAACGCUAGACAGAGAGAGAUUCUUUUGUUUUAUUUUGGCCCCAAUGGAGGAAGCUAAUGGCCUUUAUUUCUCCGGCUUGCUGAGGCAUGAAGAUCACAUAAUUUAAACAGUUCACACAAGUGUAUUGGGCUUACUGAUCCAAAAUGGUAUGCCUUGCCUAGAGCUGCAGAGAGUGAUUGUUGUUCAUCUAAGAUGGACGUCGACAUGGCUGCUACUGGCCCUGAUUAAUGCUGAAUUCUGUGUAAUUUAAUGAGAAUUAUAGGUAGAAUAAAUUUUGAUGCAUUUAUUUUCACAACACCCCCCCCCCCCCCCCCUUCCUCUGUCUCUGUCUCUUCUGAUAAGUUUGGUAAAUUAGAUUAGCUCUGUUGCCCCUGAUUACCUCAAUAUACUUAGCACAAUUUUGUUCGAUCUGGGUGGUCCAUCCAAGCCAGGCUUUGUUAGUCAUGUAUUUAUUACUAUUUGUCAUAAGUUAAUGCAUGGAUAGAGAGCCCAAUCUGAAGGAGAUUCAACUCUUUGGU
Amborella trichopoda is the source of this 3028-nucleotide non-coding RNA. Lineage: Eukaryota; Viridiplantae; Streptophyta; Magnoliopsida; Amborellales; Amborellaceae. The record is from RefSeq and is a predicted model, not a curated record.